GCCCCACCGUCGAGCCGAUAUGGUUCAGAGACGCCAUCCCCGCUCCACCGAGGAUCCCUCGGCAACCUCCCACGAUAACGUUCGACUGCGUGCCGUCCCUGUUCGACUUCCCGCAGCUCACCAUCAACAACAUCAAAGAGGAGUUCAUGAGAGAGACGGCUUACAGGUGCACGACCUUCGAAGCGGUCGCCGCGGUUCUGUGGCAGUGCCGGACCCGAGCGAUCAAUCUGCAUCCCCAAGCCGACGUCCACCUCGUCUUUUCCGCAAACGUUCGUCCGCUCCUGCGCCAGCUG
RNAcentral lists this long non-coding RNA (293 nucleotides) under Musa acuminata (dwarf banana). RNAcentral describes it as "long non-coding RNA (MACU_LNC004531)". The record is from RNAcentral. Lineage: Eukaryota; Viridiplantae; Streptophyta; Magnoliopsida; Zingiberales; Musaceae.